Molecule: non-coding RNA, 998 nt
Organism: Pelobates cultripes (western spadefoot toad)
Lineage: Eukaryota; Metazoa; Chordata; Amphibia; Anura; Pelobatidae
Source: the annotation of a GenBank genome assembly
GAAGACCCUCUUUACACCAAGAAUCUUUUAUGCAAGGCUGCCACCUAGUGUAUUUAUGUAUAUUACAACCAGUUUUUUAUAUUCCAAGUUCUGUAUAAUCCAAGACAUUUUUGUACAUUUUACUAUUUUAGUAAUUCAUGCAUUUACAAGUGGUUUCGAUAUUAUAUUUUAGAGUUUUUUUAAUUUGCAUCAUACGGUAAGAGAUCUCCUAGUACGUGUAGGCUUUUGUUACCUACUAUUAUUCAGAAAAGUUAGUGUACCUAUUCUCUGGAGUUUGAAGGUAGGAAAUUAGUCAGUGUGUGAGAGUACGUUGUGAAUGAUUUAAUAUUGGCGGAAACACCUAUAAUAUACUAAGGCAUUUAUAAAUUAAUUUAAAAAGAAAAGUGAUGAGUGAUAACUGUCCAAUUUUUCAAUGCUUAUAAAGAACCAUUAGGUUUUUUUUUUCUUAAAAUAAAACAAACCUUUAUAUCAAGUCGGUGUAUUAAUUAUUAUUUUUUUUUUAAAUCACUUUGACAGUAGAAUGUAAAAAAAUUAAAAUCAACAUUUCUAAUGUUUUGCUAUAUUGUGUUUGCAAAUUUAAUAUUUGUUGAAUUAAUACUACUGUGUGAAAUGCUUAAUGUACGUUAAAAUAAUGUUUUAAUGUUGAUUUGUGCUUUUGAAGGACAUGUUUGUGUAACAUUUUAAAAGUUUUCUGUCUAUGUUAACAUGGCACAUAGGUUGGAAUAAACUUUGACUUUGAGUACACCAGACUUCAAAAUCAUCAUUUUAUAAUGGGUGUCAGUUUAGGAUGAUAGGAUUUGCAGCAAAUAUUAUAAAUUGCUGCAUAUUAAAGUUUUUGCAUUAGACAUUUUCCAUUUAGGUUAUGCCAUCUCCCCUUACUCACUCAGUCUUCCUAUCAGGAGAUUUCUCGUAAAUUCCCCAAAUUCUGUUUCAUACAGAUAUGGCCCCUCAAGCUCAGUAAUGUAUGUAUCCUGGCUCGUUUUCUACUCCUCCCCGAC